RNAcentral lists this ribosomal RNA (379 nucleotides) under Hydra vulgaris (swiftwater hydra). Its description in RNAcentral is "partial 16S ribosomal RNA". It matches the Rfam family "Bacterial large subunit ribosomal RNA", at positions 1941 to 2472 of the family's 2925-position model. Lineage: Eukaryota; Metazoa; Cnidaria; Hydrozoa; Anthoathecata; Hydridae. The record is from RNAcentral.
UCUGACUGUAAUAAAGUAGCAUAAUUAGUUGUCAUUUAAUUGAUGAAGAGAAUGAAUGGUUACACGAAUUUUUCACUGUCUUAAAAAAAAUUUUUUAAAAUUGAAAUAAUAGUUAAGAUGCUAUUUAAAAUUGUAAGACGAAGAGACCCUAUAGAGCUUUACUAUAAACUUUUUUCUUAAAAAUAAUAAAAAAUUAUUAAAACUAGAAAGUUUGGUAGUUUAGUUGGGGCGACUGUUUUUUAAAAAUAACAAAAAUAAGCAAUAUAAUAAAUUUAUUUAUUGUAUAAUUAAACAAUUUAACAAUUACUAUAGUAGGCUAUAAUGACCCGUUAUUAUAAUAAAUAAUAAAUAACGAUUAAUUGAUAAAAGCUACCUUAGG